RNAcentral lists this ribosomal RNA (72 nucleotides) under Puccinia persistens. RNAcentral describes it as "partial 28S ribosomal RNA". The record is from RNAcentral. Lineage: Eukaryota; Fungi; Basidiomycota; Pucciniomycetes; Pucciniales; Pucciniaceae.
CUAAAAACCCCCCYUUUUUCMAAAUUUAAGACCUCAAAUCAGGRGGGACUACCCGCUGAACUUAAGCAUAUC